Molecule: ribosomal RNA, 253 nt
Filed under: uncultured bacterium
Lineage: Bacteria
Description: partial 16S ribosomal RNA
Rfam family: Bacterial small subunit ribosomal RNA
Source: RNAcentral
UACGGAGGAUGCGAGCGUUAUCCGGAUUUAUUGGGUUUAAAGGGUGCGUAGGCGGCCUGUUAAGUCAGCGGUGAAAUCUAGGAGCUUAACUCCUAAAUUGCCAUUGAUACUGGCGGGCUUGAGUGUAGAUGAGGUAGGCGGAAUGCGUGGUGUAGCGGUGAAAUGCAUAGAGAUCACGCAGAACUCCGAUUGCGAAGGCAGCUUACUAAGGUAUAACUGACACUGAAGCACGAAAGCGUGGGUAUCAAACAGG